GACGAACGCUGGCGGCGUGCUUAACACAUGCAAGUCGAACGGAAAGGCCCUGCUUUUGUGGGGUGCUCGAGUGGCGAACGGGUGAGUAACACGUGAGUAACCUGCCCUUGACUUUGGGAUAACUUCAGGAAACUGGGGCUAAUACCGGAUAGGAGCUCCUGCUGCAUGGUGGGGGUUGGAAAGUUUCGGCGGUUGGGGAUGGACUCGCGGCUUAUCAGCUUGUUGGUGGGGUAGUGGCUUACCAAGGCUUUGACGGGUAGCCGGCCUGAGAGGGUGACCGGGGACAUUGGGACGCGGCGACGGCGCGGGCUCGGGGGGGGGGGGGGGGGGGGGGAUAUGGAAGAGUGGGGGGGGGUCUGGGGCGGGAGGGGCGGGGGGGGGGGCGCGCCGUCGGUGGUGAACGCGGGUUUCGCGGGUGAGGAGGGGGGGUGGGCAGGAAGGGGAAAAGAGGCAUCGGCUACUGAGGGGCCGGCAGCGGCGGAAAUAGUAGGAAGAGACUGUUCUGAAC
RNAcentral lists this ribosomal RNA (508 nucleotides) under uncultured bacterium. RNAcentral describes it as "partial 16S ribosomal RNA". The stretch from base 20 to 328 matches the Rfam family "Bacterial small subunit ribosomal RNA", at positions 47 to 358 of the family's 1533-position model. The record is from RNAcentral.